This 602-nucleotide long non-coding RNA is filed under the name Phoenix dactylifera (date palm). RNAcentral's name for it is "long non-coding RNA (PDAC_LNC020850)". The record is from RNAcentral. Lineage: Eukaryota; Viridiplantae; Streptophyta; Magnoliopsida; Arecales; Arecaceae.
CAUCGCCUGGAGAAGCAGCAUCGCUGCCAUUACCUUUCGGGACUGGCCAUGAGACAUACAUAUAUCUCUAUUCUGUUAUAUUUUUGUUAAAACUAAGCAUAGAGUAGUUGUGUUUCAUGUUUUUACCCAACCACUUCCGACUACAAGGAGUGGGUGGCUAGUGUUAAGUGUGACGAAGGAGAUUUUUUUGGGUGAAAAUCUUCUUAACUUGUUGGAGCAAACCAAUCAUGUUUGUAAAUUCCUAAGUAAAUGUCACAUAGAAAGCCCUUUGGGUGUUGAUGGUUCCUUUAGAAAGUUCAAUCCUUUCAGGAAGUUCCUCCACCUCAUGAUGGUCUCAUAUUCCAUCGCCUGGAAAAGCAGCAUCGCUGCCGUUACCUUUCGGGACUGGCCAUGAGACAUACAUACACCUCUUUUCUUUUAUUUUUUUAUUUAAACCAAGCAUAGAGUAGAUGUGUUUCAUGUUUUACCCAGCUGCUUCUUGCUACAAUCAGUGGGUGGCUAGUGUUAAGUGUGACCAAGGAGGUUUUUCUGGGUGUCUUCAGAUGAGCGACUUCUUGUCUUUGUUGUUUGCUUUAGGGAAAACAAAAGAGACCGAUGUAGGA